GGUGAACGCUGGCGGCGCGCCUAACACAUGCAAGUCGAACGGCACCCCUCCUCGGAGGGAAGCGAGUGGCGAACGGCUGAGUAACACGUGGAGAACCUGCCCCCUCCCCCGGGAUAGCCGCCCGAAAGGACGGGUAAUACCGGAUACCCCGGGGUGCCGCAUGGCACCCCGGCUAAAGCCCCGACGGGAGGGGAUGGCUCCGCGGCCCAUCAGGUAGACGGCGGGGUGACGGCCCACCGUGCCGACAACGGGUAGCCGGGUUGAGAGACCGACCGGCCAGAUUGGGACUGAGACACGGCCCAGACUCCUACGGGAGGCAGCAGUGGGGAAUCUUGCGCAAUGGGGGGAACCCUGACGCAGCGACGCCGCGUGCGGGACGGAGGCCUUCGGGUCGUAAACCGCUUUCAGCAGGGAAGAGUCAAGACUGUACCUGCAGAAGAAGCCCCGGCUAACUACGUG
RNAcentral lists this ribosomal RNA (459 nucleotides) under uncultured bacterium. RNAcentral's name for it is "partial 16S ribosomal RNA". It matches the Rfam family "Bacterial small subunit ribosomal RNA", at positions 28 to 507 of the family's 1533-position model. The record is from RNAcentral.